RNAcentral lists this ribosomal RNA (467 nucleotides) under uncultured bacterium. RNAcentral's name for it is "partial 16S ribosomal RNA". It matches the Rfam family "Bacterial small subunit ribosomal RNA", at positions 29 to 507 of the family's 1533-position model. The record is from RNAcentral.
ACGAACGCUGGCGGCGUGCUUAACACAUGCCAGUCGCACGGAAAGGCCCUGCUUUUGUGGGGUGCUCGAGUGGCGAACGGGUGAGUAACACGUGAGUAACCUGCCCUUGACUUUGGGAUAACUUCAGGAAACUGGGGCUAAUACCGGAUAGGAGCUCCUGCUGCAUGGUGGGGGUUGGAAAGUUUCGGCGGUUGGGGAUGGACUCGCGGCUUAUCAGCUUGUUGGUGGGGUAGUGGCUUACCAAGGCUUUGACGGGUAGCCGGCCUGAGAGGGUGACCGGCCACAUUGGGACUGAGAUACGGCCCAGACUCCUACGGGAGGCAGCAGUGGAGAAUAUUGCACAAUGGGCGGAAGCCUGAUGCAGCAACGCCGCGUGCGGGAUGACGGCCUUCGGGUUGUAAACCGCUUUCGCCUGUGACGAAGCGUGAGUGACGGUAAUGGGUAAAGAAGCACCGGCUAACUACGUG